CGAAUCAUUCACAAUGGGCGAAAGCCUGAUGGUGCGACGCCGCGUGGGGGACGAAGGUCUUCGGAUUGUAAACCCCUGUCACCAGGGAAGAAACGCUAUUCAAUAAUAUUGAAUAGCCUGACUUAACCUGGAGAGGAAGCAGUGGCUAACUCUGUGCCAGCAGCCGCGGUAAUACAGAGACUGCAAGCGUUAUGCGGAUUCACUGGGCGUAAAGGGUGCGCAGGCGGUUGUGUGUGUCAGGUGUGAAAUCUCGGGGCUUAACCCCGAAACUGCGCCUGAAACUACAUGACUAGAGCAUUGGAGAGGGUAGCGGAAUUCAUGGUGUAGCAGUGAAAUGCGUAGAUAUCAUGAGGAACACCAGAGGCGAAGGCGGCUACCUGGACAAUUGCUGACGCUCAGGCACGAAAGCGUGGGGAGCAAA
This 421-nucleotide ribosomal RNA is filed under the name uncultured bacterium. RNAcentral's name for it is "bacterial SSU rRNA". It matches the Rfam family "Bacterial small subunit ribosomal RNA", at positions 358 to 772 of the family's 1533-position model. The record is from RNAcentral.